AGUCAACACACACCGUGACAUUGGGAGAGACUUGAUUCAAGAGGAUUAGAUUUGGAGUUGUUUUCCUCCUGCUAUGCACUUGUACUGUAAGCAGAGGGGACCAUAAGGAUUUAGGUUCAUAGGGGCUUGAGCUGGCACCAUCAAGAGGGGGAAAUCUUUUUCAUUUGAUACAGACAUUAAACUUUAGACAGGAAAAACUCCCUGAGGAGGAGACAUAAAAAAAUGAAACCACAAAAAGUCUGGAAGAACUUGACUCAAAAGAGGGCAUGGGUAAGGACGUUCCCCAGGGAAAUACUUACCUUCAGCAGAACUUCCAACAAUACAGGUGGGGCUCAAAACAGGUGGGGCUCACCUGCCCUCAAUGACGGGUCACCACUGCACACUGCAUCGUUGCAGCCUUGCAGACAAGCAUCCGCCCAGUGCUGAUCAGCCUGACUGCUUACAACAACAACAAAAACUGUGUGGGAGGAAGAUAGUUAUUUUACACACACUCACUCAGCACAGGAUGAGUGUGUGUAUGAAGACGGCGAGGACCAAAGUUCUUACUCCAGCUGUCCUGCCACCCACAAAUCUCUGUGAAUUGUGGCCAGUGGGUUGAACAGGCAGAGGAAUGCUUUCAUUUUGCUGCCUAUGUAUUGGAAUGGCAACAUUAAAGGAAUUUAAAACAUGCCCCUAAUGUAUUAAUAGGCAUCUGUUUGCUAUAAGAGAGUGCUAAUUAACGGCUAUGAUUGUGGAGGAGAAAGAGAGAAACAGGGGGGUUGAGAGAGAGAGGGAGAGGUUCUGUUUCACUUGCUUUGGCAAUGUUAACAUAUGCUUCCCAUGCCAAUAAAGCCCAUUGAAUUGAGAGAGCGAGAGCCAUAAUGUUUGUAUUUAGUAUAAAUUGCUGUUUUUGUUUGGUGAUUUGAAAGGCAGGAUAAACAGAAUAAAGAAUGAACUUUUCUGUUUACAUUAGCAGAGUAGUUAGCCCCAUAUGUAUAUGCCACUUCCACUACUUGCUCCAGUCCUAUGAAAUGCAUGGAAAUGAUUAGAUGAAAAAUGUGCGCUGCGAUGGUCACAGUUAUUCUGGCAAUCAACACAGAGAAAAAUAUUCUGUAAAAAGCCUCCCUUCUUCCAUUUUCCUGCCAUUAUACCUGCGAAUUCACAUACACCCAAGUUCUUAUCUUCCUUACAUAGCCAUAUAUUCAAAUCUCAUCUUCCUAUUAUCACCAUCUACAUUUAAAUAUCUAUUCUUUAUCCAUGUACAGUCAAAC
Molecule: long non-coding RNA, 1250 nt
Organism: Oncorhynchus tshawytscha (Chinook salmon)
Lineage: Eukaryota; Metazoa; Chordata; Actinopteri; Salmoniformes; Salmonidae
Source: Ensembl